GAUCCCAACAAAUCCGGCGCUGGGGGUCACCCAUGCCAUCAGGACGGGGUUUGACCUGCCUGAGAAGCCCCCCUCCCCGAGGUGGGUUCGUUGGCCCCUCAAGCACAGAGUUAAAAGUUUCCUCCGUAUCUUAUCCCGCAGCCACUGACUCGGUCCAGCCCAGAUCCCCCAGACCUCUAGCGAGCCAGGGUACGGGACAUCCCACGCACGGCCUUCUGCGUCCUGUCUCCCCUUUGCUUUCCUAUCCGCUCUUUUCCCGUCGCACUUGCUUGCCGUGUUGUAUAUAGUUCACCUCUCUGUGCACAUUUUAUUUCCACGUGCUGAACCCCGCUGACAGAGUCCUGUGCUUAAUAAUCUCUACCUUCUCCGAAGCGCCAAGCCGUGAGUCGGUGCCAACCCGGAUGAACUCCGCUCGACAGGGUGUCAAGAGUCCGUCCCAGACUUCUUUAAGAACAUUAAACAAAAUAUCCAUGAAGAAACCGGAAACCCUAUUGUUUGGGACAUCUGCAACCAGAUAAAACUCAGCAUUUCUUUUAAGAAGUGGUCGCUUCUCCACUUUGAGUCUCUGGCCGAAGAACCUUGGAAAGCCAAGCAUCGGACGUUUCAAAGAUGAAUCUGUCCACAAAGUAGCCAAGAGAAAGAAAAAAGCGAACAAAAGUUGAAAUCAAAUCCUAUAGGCCAUUAAUUGCCCCUUCGAAAGACUCAAGAAAAUUUCUUAUUCUUUCAUUUUUCUCCAUAAAUCCUAUAAUCUCCCCAAUUCAUCAGCGACUUGGUUCCCGGCCUUGCCCACUUGGCCUUUUUCCUUUCAUGUCUUUCAUCCCCUAAAUGAGAAUGGUUUCUCGAUGUUCUCUAACACAAAUUCCUUCAGAGCAUCCGACGGCGGGCAGGUGGCCGUUUCAGUCGCGGAGGUUCGACCAGCAGCCCGCCCCGCAGACCACGCGAGCCCGCGUCCGGGAGGGGCGCCAGUCCUCGCUCUCAGGGGCGCGGGGAUUUGUCACCCCCUCGCAGGCUGAGUCCCGGCCUGGACACAGGGGAGGGGGUUCGGGGCCCCCGGGCAGGUAUCAGAGGUUGUCAGAGGGCCGGGGUGGGUCAGGGGACGUGAGACCACGUUGCAGGGGCAGGAGCCUGACUGUGACCCCUCUUGGGCUCCGACAUGCCCGGGGGCUGGGCCCUGAGGUCUGCCGUGGGCAACGGUCAGGGUGACUCCACCAUGUCGUCCCCACACCAGGACACCUCCGAGGGUAAAAGUGGGGGAGUCUGGGGAUCCCUGGGUGGCGCAGCGGUUUGGCGCCUGCCUUUGGCCCAGGGUGUGAUCCUGGAGACCCGGGAUCGAGUCCCACAUCGGGCUCCCGGUGCAUGGAGCCUGCUUCU
Canis lupus familiaris (dog) is the source of this 1371-nucleotide long non-coding RNA. RefSeq lists it as uncharacterized. The record is from RefSeq and is a predicted model, not a curated record. The transcript is spliced from 3 exons. NCBI's taxonomy places the organism in Eukaryota, Metazoa, Chordata, Mammalia, Carnivora, Canidae.